CCUACGGGAGGCAGCAGUGGGGAAUAUUGCACAAUGGGCGCAAGCCUGAUGCAGCCAUGCCGCGUGUAUGAAGAAGGCCUUCGGGUUGUAAAGUACUUUCAGUCGUGAGGAAGGCGGCGUCGUUAAUAGCGGCGUUGUUUGACGUUAGCGACAGAAGAAGCACCGGCUAACUCCGUGCCAGCAGCCGCGGUAAUA
This 195-nucleotide ribosomal RNA is filed under the name uncultured bacterium. Its description in RNAcentral is "partial 16S ribosomal RNA". It matches the Rfam family "Bacterial small subunit ribosomal RNA", at positions 338 to 525 of the family's 1533-position model. The record is from RNAcentral.